This 225-nucleotide ribosomal RNA is filed under the name Triticum aestivum (bread wheat). RNAcentral's name for it is "partial small subunit ribosomal RNA". The record is from RNAcentral. Lineage: Eukaryota; Viridiplantae; Streptophyta; Magnoliopsida; Poales; Poaceae.
AUGAAAAUCAUCGGAUGGAAUUGCCGUGGCCUUCAUAAGGCUGCGACAGUUCGUGCGUUACUGGACAUCCAAAAGCGGAGGGUAGCGGAUGUUAUUUUCUUAUCAGAAACACAUCUUGAAGAAUGGGCUGCAGAAUCUUUGAAACGAAGGCUCAAGAUGGAUCAUAAGGAGGUUGUGGAGAGCGAUGGAAGAAGUGGUGGCCUUCUUUUGUUAUGGAAGAAAGAA